This 339-nucleotide ribosomal RNA is filed under the name uncultured bacterium. Its description in RNAcentral is "bacterial SSU rRNA". It matches the Rfam family "Bacterial small subunit ribosomal RNA", at positions 28 to 334 of the family's 1533-position model. The record is from RNAcentral.
GACGAACGCUGGCGGCAUGCCUAACACAUGCAAGUCGAACGGGGUAUGAUAGCAGAAGGCUACGGCUGGAAGCUAGAAAUACCAAGUGGCGGACGGGUGAGUAACGCGUGGGUAACGUACCUUCCAGAGGGGAAUAACCGUGAGAAAUCACAGCUAAUACCGCAUAAGGUUCAACCAUCGCAUGAUGGAAGAAAGAAAGGUGGCAGAGCAGAGCAGCUGCCGCUGGGAGAGCGACCCGCGUCUGAUUAGCUAGUUGGUGAGAUAAAAGCCCACCAAGGCAACGAUCAGUAGCCGGCCUGAGAGGGUGAACGGCCACAUUGGGACUGAGACACGGCCCAA